This 134-nucleotide non-coding RNA is filed under the name Williamsia sp. Lineage: Bacteria; Bacillati; Actinomycetota; Actinomycetes; Mycobacteriales; Nocardiaceae. The record is from RNAcentral.
GACGUGGUCACUUGACUACGGGCUUCUAUAGGCUGAGCCCGACCCGCAACGGGGAAGCCGGUGGAAAUCCGGCGCGGUCGCGCCACUGUGUCGGGGAGACCCGGAGUCAGACCCUCGUUGCCGUACCGCCACAC